UAAUACGUAGGAUGCAAGCGUUGUCCGGAAUUAUUGGGCGUAAAGAGCGAGCAGGCGGCAGACCAAGUUGGACGUGAAAUUUUAGGGCUUAACCCUAAAGGGUCGUCCAAAACUGGUCAGCUAGAGUGCAGGAGAGGAAAGCGGAAUUCCCGGUGUAGUGGUGAAAUGCGUAGAUAUCGGGAGGAACACCAGAGGCGAAGGCGGCUUUCUGGCCUGUAACUGACGCUGAGGCGCGAAGGCUGGGGUAGCGAACAGGAUUAGAUACCCUGGUAGUCCCAGCAGUAAACGAUGGACACUAGGUGUGCGGGGAAAUUGACCCCCUGCGUGCCGGAGCAAACGCAAUAAGUGUCCCGCCUGGGGAGUACGGUCGCAAGAUUA
This 378-nucleotide ribosomal RNA is filed under the name uncultured bacterium. RNAcentral describes it as "bacterial SSU rRNA". It matches the Rfam family "Bacterial small subunit ribosomal RNA", at positions 521 to 896 of the family's 1533-position model. The record is from RNAcentral.